RNAcentral lists this long non-coding RNA (959 nucleotides) under Mytilus galloprovincialis (Mediterranean mussel). Lineage: Eukaryota; Metazoa; Mollusca; Bivalvia; Mytilida; Mytilidae. The record is from RNAcentral.
CUGCACUUGUCCAUACAUUACAAUUCCCAUUGUUUGAAGACCGUCAUUGCAGUCUUGGCAAUAAAACUUGAGACCAAAUCAAGUUGUAUCAGGCAAAUCAAUAUAUAACCUUGACAUAAAUUGAACAAGCUGAUAAUGAAAGUAACCUAGUUUGAUAUUUUAUAUAUAUAUCAUUUCCCACUGUGCACUAUAAUAUAGCUGGGAGGAUCUUCAAAUCUUCGCAUUAUAUUAAUGCGAUUCUUCACCUUAGAGAUAGUUAAUCCAUCGGUAAAAACAAACCUACCAUCAAAUUUUCGCUCCUCCCGGUCGUUGUCUUGCUUCCAAAAACACAUUCUUAAUAAUUGACGACCUAACAAUCCAAACCCUUAUAGGAGAAUCAGCAACAUACACACAAUUAAAUGGGAAUUCGUAUAUGUAACGCAAAUAUGCACCCGCUUUCAAACGACCUAAAUAUUUUUAUUGGAUAAUCCAUCAACGACACAUGCUAUCUCCAUAUAUAGAUAUAGGAAGAUGUGGUAUGAGUGCCAAUGAGACAAAUCUCCAUCCAAGUCACAAUUUAUAGAAGUAAACCAUUAUAGGUCCAUACCUAUGUUGAAUGAGUUCGACGAACAACGAGAAUAUUUAAUACCUAAAGCAUGUAUAGAUAUUUUGAGUAUUGCAGAAAAUUGGUAUUUAGUCAAACUAGCUAACCAUCAAAAGACAAAAUAGCGGUCCACCUACUACAAGUCUAUCUGGCAAAUAGUAAAGCAAUAAAAGCCACUGGACAAAUACAUUUGUCUAAUUGCGCAGGAAUGUGUAUAGUUAACCCUCUACCAAACUGAUCGGUCUUAGAUGAAACCAAAUGAAUUUCUACAUAUUUCUUGUAAAUUUUGACAUCAUUCUUGUUUUAAAGCAUGAUUAGUAGAACAUGCAUUGCUCAUAUUUUGAACUGUUAACUCCCCAACCAUGCAUAAAAAGAC